Molecule: ribosomal RNA, 483 nt
Filed under: uncultured bacterium
Lineage: Bacteria
Description: partial 16S ribosomal RNA
Rfam family: Bacterial small subunit ribosomal RNA
Source: RNAcentral
GACGAACGCUGGCGGCGUGCUUAACACAUGCAAGUCGGACGAUGAAGCUGGAGCUUGCUCUGGCGGAUUAGUGGCGAACGGGUGAGUAACACGUGAGAAAUCUGCCCUUGACUCUGGGAUAACUGCGGGAAACUGUAGCUAAUACCGGAUACUUUCCCUGGUGGGCAUCCACUGGGGAAGAAAGAAUUUCGGUCAAGGAUGAUCUCGCGGCCUAUCAGCUUGUUGGUGAGGUAAUGGCUCACCAAGGCGACGACGGGUAGCCGGCCUGAGAGGGUGACCGGCCACACUGGGACUGAGACACGGCCCAGACUCCUACGGGAGGCAGCAGUGGGGAAUAUUGCACAAUAGGCGCAAGCCUGAUGCAGCAACGCCGCGUGAGGGAUGAAGGCCUUCGGGUGUAAACCUCUUUUAGCAGGGAAGAAGCGAAAGUGACGGUACCUGCAGAAAAAGCACCGGCUAACUACGUGCCAGCAGCCGCCGUAA